CCUACGGGAGGCUGCAGUAGGGAAUAUUGCUCAAUGGGGGAAACCCUGAAGCAGCAACGCCGCGUGGAGGAUGACUGUUUUCUGAUUUUUAACUCCUUUUGUUAGAGAAGAUAAUGACGGUAUCUAACGAAUAAGCACCUGCUAACUCCGGGCCAGCAGCCGCGGUAAUACGGAGGGUGCAAGCGUUACUCGGAAUCACUGGGCGUAAAGAGCGCGUAGGCGGGAUAGUAGGUCAGAUGUGAAAUCCUAUGGCCUAACCAUAAAACUGCAGUUGAAACUGGUGUUCUAGAGUAUGCGAGAGGUAGGUGGAAUUCGUGGUGUAGGGGUAAAAUCCGUAGAGAUCAAGAGGAAUCCUCAUUGCGAAGGCAGCCUGCUAGAACAUAACUGACGCUGAUGCGCGAAAGCGUGGGGAGCGAACAGGAUUAGAUACCCCUGUAGUC
Molecule: ribosomal RNA, 440 nt
Filed under: uncultured bacterium
Lineage: Bacteria
Description: partial 16S ribosomal RNA
Rfam family: Bacterial small subunit ribosomal RNA
Source: RNAcentral